Molecule: unclassified non-coding RNA, 328 nt
Filed under: soil metagenome
Description: partial contains 5.8S ribosomal RNA, internal transcribed spacer 2, and large subunit ribosomal RNA
Rfam family: 5.8S ribosomal RNA (bases 1-120)
Source: RNAcentral
GAUGAAGAACGUAGCGAAAUGCGAUAAGUAAUGUGAAUUGCAGAAUUCAGUGAAUCAUCGAAUCUUUGAACGCACAUUGCGCCCCCUGGUAUUCCGGGGGGCAUGCCUGUCCGAGCGUCAUUACAACCCUCAAGCUCAGCUUGGUGUUGGGCCCCGCCGCCCCGGCGGGCCCUAAAGUCAGUGGCGGUGCCGUCCGGCUCCGAGCGUAGUAAUUCUUCUCGCUCUGGAGGUCCGGUCGUGUGCUCGCCAGCAACCCCCAAUUUUUUUCAGGUUGACCUCGGAUCAGGUAGGGAUACCGCUGAACUUAAGCAUAUCAAUAAGCGGAGGA